ACCUACGGGGGGCAGCAGUGAGGAAUAUUGGUCAAUGGCCGGAAGGCUGAACCAGCCAAGCCGCGUGAAGGACGAAGGUGCCAAGCAUUGUAAACUUCUUUUGUCAAGGGACAAAAUCAGGCUCGAGAGCCUGACCGAGGGUACUUGAAGAAAAAGCAUCGGCUAACUCCGUGCCAGCAGCCGCGGUAAUACGGAGGAUGCGAGCGCUAUCCGGAUUUAUUGGGUUUAAAGGGUGCGCAGGCGGAGGCACAAGUCAGCGGUAAAAUCGCGGGGCUCAACCCCGCUCCGCCGUUGAAACUGUGUCC
RNAcentral lists this ribosomal RNA (305 nucleotides) under uncultured bacterium. RNAcentral describes it as "bacterial SSU rRNA". It matches the Rfam family "Bacterial small subunit ribosomal RNA", at positions 337 to 640 of the family's 1533-position model. The record is from RNAcentral.